UCAACACUACAACCAGACACGCGGCGCCU
RNAcentral lists this small RNA (29 nucleotides) under Bombyx mori (domestic silkworm). RNAcentral describes it as "ovarian small RNA-24543". Lineage: Eukaryota; Metazoa; Arthropoda; Insecta; Lepidoptera; Bombycidae. The record is from RNAcentral.